UACCAUUUUUAUUGAUAAGUUGACUUCAGCAAGAUAACUUCAAAAACUAAUUUUAAUGAAAAAAAAUAUUUUUAAAUAACAAUUUCCAUCUUCAGUGGUAAAGUUGCAUCUUCAGGGCUUGUAGGUUUAGUUCAGUCAGACAAAGUCAGAGAGCCGUGUCUCUCUACAGUGAGAGGUUUUUGUACGGCGGCUCAAUGAGUUUGUAUCACUGUGGUUGACUUUUGGUGGAGGAACCAGACUGGAUGUUGGAAGUGAUGCCCGUCCCACCAUGACGGUGCUGCCCCCCUCCACUGAGCAGCUGCAGCAGGGGACGGCCACGCUCAUGUGCCUGGCCAACAAGGGCUUCCCCUCAGACUGGAGUCUGGCCUGGAAGGUGGACGGCAGCAGCAGCAGCAGCAGCAGCAGCAGCAGCAGCAGCAGCAGCAGCAGCAGCAUCAGCUGGGAGCAGAGCAGCAGCCCCGGGGUGCUGGAGAAGGACGGCCACUACAGCUGGAGCAGCACCCUGAGGCUCUCUGCAGACCAGUGGAGGAAGGUGGGCUCUGUGACCUGUGAGGCCACCCAGGGCUCCCAGACUCCGCUCUCAGAGACUCUGAGGAGAGACCAGUGUCCCCAGUCCUGAUCUGACUCACUGGUUUUACUCUGCUACUGCUCUCAGUCUGCACUCUGUAACUCUUUCUUUCUCACACGUUCUUGCUUGUGUUGAUGCUUUCAACAUUUUCAAAUAAUAAAGAUUGGAUCAUGUGUAUUAUGAAAGUAUUGUGUUCCUUUGUUUGUUACUAUAGUCAUUUUUGUUUGUUAAUCUGAUGAAUAUUCUGAAUAUAUAGGUCAAUCAAGAGUACUUUUUAGUGUUUUUAAAAGGUCAUUCUUGCAUUGUUGAUCUAUUGUAUGUACAAUGUUUUGUCUAUUCAACUAGUUCAUGCCCUUGAAGAUUUGAUUUUUAAUGUGUUGUUAAAUAUUCUGAAGAUCUGAAAUAUAAAAUAUAAAUAAUAAUAGAAAUGAUUCACAACAUUAUAAAUAAAAAAGAAGCGUAUUGUCUGCAUAAAGUGUUAUAUCAAGAAUUGAAUUUGGGAUUUUAAACAAACAAGCAAGCAUGAUUGCUUGUUUUCAACUUUUUAAAUGUAUCAUUUUUAUAAUUCGAUAACUCUCAGAGACUCUGAGGAUAGACCAGAGUCCCCAGUCCUGACCUGACUCACUGGUUUUACUCUAAUGCAGAGUGCAGACUGAGAGCAGCAGCACUUUCCCUUUGUCAAUGUCUUUUUUUCCAUCAUGUGCUCAUCUUAAUAUUCUUAAACU
This is a non-coding RNA of Centropristis striata (black sea bass), 1293 nucleotides long. The record is from the annotation of a RefSeq genome assembly. NCBI's taxonomy places the organism in Eukaryota, Metazoa, Chordata, Actinopteri, Perciformes, Serranidae.